GACGAACGCUGGCGGCGUGCUUAACACAUGCAAGUCGAACGGAGCGAAUGAAAGCUUGCUUUUAUGAGCUUAGUGGCAAACGGGUGAGUAACACGUAGACAACCUGCCGAUCAGAUGGGGACAACAUUCCGAAAGGAAUGCUAAUACCGAAUGAAGUGUGGGGGAGGCAUCUUCCCUACAUGAAAGAUGGCCUCUAUUUAUAAGCUAUCACUGAUCGAUGGGUCUGCGUCUGAUUAGCUAGUAGGUAAGGUAACGGCUUACCUAGGCGACGAUCAGUAGCCGGUCUGAGAGGAUGAACGGCCACAUUGGGACUGAGACACGGCCCAGACUCCUACGGGAGGCAGCAGUGGGGAAUCUUCCGCAAUGGGCGCAAGCCCUGACGGAGCAAACGCCCGCGUGAGUGAAAGAAAGGUCUUUCGGAUCGUAAAAGCUUCUGUUGAAAGGGG
This 446-nucleotide ribosomal RNA is filed under the name Selenomonas sp. oral taxon H23. Its description in RNAcentral is "bacterial SSU rRNA". It matches the Rfam family "Bacterial small subunit ribosomal RNA", at positions 28 to 445 of the family's 1533-position model. The record is from RNAcentral. Lineage: Bacteria; Bacillati; Bacillota; Negativicutes; Selenomonadales; Selenomonadaceae.